ACCGGGAUAGACGUACCGCUGGUGCACCAGUUGUUACGCCAGGAGCAUGGCUGGGUAGCUACGUACGGACGGGAUAAGCGCUGAAAGCAUCUAAGCGUGAAGCCCCCCUCAAGAUGAGAUUUCCCAGUAUGUAAGACCCCUUGAAGACGACGAGGUAGAUAGGUUGGAGGUGGAAGCACGGCAACGUGUGGAGCUGACCAAUACUAAUCGGUCGAGGGCUUAUCCAAUAA
Molecule: ribosomal RNA, 230 nt
Filed under: Paenibacillus riograndensis
Lineage: Bacteria; Bacillati; Bacillota; Bacilli; Caryophanales; Paenibacillaceae
Description: partial 23S ribosomal RNA
Rfam family: Bacterial large subunit ribosomal RNA
Source: RNAcentral